Molecule: ribosomal RNA, 454 nt
Filed under: uncultured Pelotomaculum sp.
Lineage: Bacteria; Bacillati; Bacillota; Clostridia; Eubacteriales; Desulfotomaculaceae
Description: bacterial SSU rRNA
Rfam family: Bacterial small subunit ribosomal RNA
Source: RNAcentral
GCGGUGGAGCAUGUGGUUAAUUCGACGCAACGCGAAGAACCUUACCAGGGCUUGACAUCCCCUGACCGCGUAUGAAAGUACGUUUUCACCCUCGGGUGACAGGGAGACAGGUGGUGCAUGGUUGUCGUCAGCUCGUGUCGUGAGAUGUUGGGUUAAGUCCCGCAACGAGCGCAACCCCUACGUUUAGUUGCUAACAGGUGAAGCUGAGCACUCUAGACGAACUGCCGUUGACAAAACGGAGGAAGGUGGGAUGACGUCAAAUCAUCAUGCCCCUUAUGUUCUGGGCUACACACGUGCUACAAUGGCCGGUACAGACGGAGGCGAAGCCGCGAGGCGGAGCAAAUCCGAAAAAGCCGGUCUCAGUUCGGAUUGCAGGCUGCAAUUCGCCUGCAUGAAGUCGGAAUCGCUAGUAAUGGCGGAUCAGCAUGCCGCCGUGAAUACGUUCCCGGGUCUU